AUUGGACGCUGGCGGCAGGCCUAACACAUGCAAGUCGAACGAGUGGCGGACGGGUGAGUAAAGGCUGGGAAACUGCCGGAUGGAGGGGGAUAACUACUGGAAACGGUAGCUAAUACCGCAUACCAUCGGAUGUGCCCAGAGGGGAUUAGCUAGUAGGUGGGGUAAAGGCUCACCUAGGCGACGAUCCCUAGCUGGUCUGAGAGGGGGACCAGCCACACUGGGACUGAGACACGGUCCAGACUCCUACGGGAGGCAGCAGUGGGGAAUAUUGCACAAUGGGCGCAAGCCUGAUGCAGCCAUGCCGCGUGUAUGAAGAAGGCCUUCGGGUUGUAAAGUACUUUCAGCGGGGAGGCGUUACCCACAGAAGAAGCACCGGCUAACUCCGUGCCAGCAGCCGCGGUAAUUC
RNAcentral lists this ribosomal RNA (406 nucleotides) under uncultured bacterium. RNAcentral describes it as "partial 16S ribosomal RNA". It matches the Rfam family "Bacterial small subunit ribosomal RNA", at positions 29 to 526 of the family's 1533-position model. The record is from RNAcentral.